AAGACUAUAUUUUCAGGGAUAAUUUCUGUAGUAUGUGACUAGAGAAGUUUCUCUGAUCAUGUAGAGCACCGCACCCGAAGCCAAGAGGAGGAGCCAGAGCGUCCUCUCCUGAAUGCUAGGCCGGCUCUAGACGUUGCUUCUGCGACUGCCUUUGGCUUUUGAUAAUCGUUCUUCCCUUCCUUUGGAAUGGGUAGAGGGAGAGGAUGCAGUCUGAGUGGU
Small nucleolar RNA from Suncus etruscus (white-toothed pygmy shrew), 219 nucleotides. RefSeq annotates it as small nucleolar RNA U3. NCBI's taxonomy places the organism in Eukaryota, Metazoa, Chordata, Mammalia, Eulipotyphla, Soricidae. The transcript has a single exon. The record is from RefSeq and is a predicted model, not a curated record.